UGGUUGUUUUAUGAUAUCCGAAUACAGAGGUUUAGAUGGUCGUUCCUCUGUUUGCCUGUGAUCCAAUUCGCGUUGUAAAUCUGACAUGUGCGAGAACCCUCCCGCACGAUCGUCGAAGGUUCGGCCCCGCGUCCGUUCCCUGUCGCCAUCCUCCUUUUGUCGGGUAUUUACCUUAAUUUCAAUAGAGAUUUCAGUCUCCUUUAACCACUUCAUAAAAUACUCCAAAACACAGCCAAACUGUUCCAUAUCCAAAAAUCUUUUCAUUGUGUACACCAAAAUACAGGAGAAACAUUAACAAAAUUCCAGAGAACUACUCGUCAACUACCAUCGCCGUACAACAACAUUGUGUCGUCGCCGCUUUGCGGCCAAACUUUUAUACUGAAGAUAAUUUGCAUAAAAACGUACAAUAUGAUUAUCAUUAAUUACAAAACAAGUUAUUUCCAAAAUAUAACAAAUACAAACAUUAGAACAAAAAUUAUUAUUAUGUAUUUUUUUUCUUCUUUUUCUUUUCCUAAAAAAUAAAAGAAACAUAAAAAACAAUAAUCAAAUGAACACCUUGUCAAGUCCACCUUCCCCCACGUCCAUUACGGCAAACCGGCCACCACAGGUAACUUUCUUCUUUAUAUUUUUCAGCUCCUCACAAAUCUUCCACUUUCUCGUCCACCUUGAUGAAUUCGUCGAGUAUCUCUUCAAAAAUGCUUGACAUUAUAG
This 711-nucleotide long non-coding RNA is filed under the name Androctonus crassicauda. Lineage: Eukaryota; Metazoa; Arthropoda; Arachnida; Scorpiones; Buthidae. The record is from RNAcentral.